AUGUCGGCCGACGAGAUCAGGGCCGAGAUCAACACCCUUAUCGCCUCCAAGUUCGCCGAGGGUACGGUGGAUCAGUAUUUCUUGCAGCUGUACGUGAUGUGGAGGUACCGGAAGAUACGCAAGGGCCUGGUCGUCGAGGUCAUUGAACGCUACCUCCACGACGCCGACAAGAUCCUCACCGAAAUCGCCGUCUUGCUGAACCAGCCCCAGCUGGACUACGACAAGGUGGAGGGGAUCGCGGAAAAGCUCGAGGGGUGCAGCAGCAGCAGUGUUGGUGCUAAGAGAGUCAACCUCUCGUGCGUGGAGUACUUACAUCCUGAGGCAAAAACCAAAGAAGGGGACCAGCCAGUGCUGGACUUCGACAGGGUGGACGCCCUCGUGCAGCAGCUCAAGGGGUGUAGCUCCAGUGUUGGUGCUAACAAAGUGAGCGUCUCAUGCAUGCACUUCCGUCGGUUCAAUCAUGCAAAAACCAAAGAAGGGUACCUCAUGGCAUUGGCUCCUGUUAUGAAUGAGUUCUAUGAUGUGCGGAACAUGUUCCUGACCAUACUGCAGCUGGAGGAACAGAUUGAUGCCUUGAGCCCUAAGUACUAG
Molecule: ribosomal RNA, 591 nt
Filed under: Triticum aestivum (bread wheat)
Lineage: Eukaryota; Viridiplantae; Streptophyta; Magnoliopsida; Poales; Poaceae
Description: partial small subunit ribosomal RNA
Source: RNAcentral